AUUGAACGCUGGCGGCAUGCUUUACACAUGCAAGUCGAACGGUAACAGGGUGCUUGCACCGCUGACGAGUGGCGAACGGGUGAGUAAUGCGUCGGAACGCACCGAGUAAUGGGGGAUAACGCAGCGAAAGCUGUGCUAAUACCGCAUACGCUCUGAGGAGGAAAGCGGGGGACCUUCGGGCCUCGCGUUAUUCGAGCGGCCGACGUCUGAUUAGCUAGUAGGUGAGGUAAGAGCUCACCUAGGCGACGAUCAGUAGCGGGUCUGAGAGGAUGGUCCGCCACACUGGGACUGAGACACGGCCCAGACUCCUACGGGAGGCAGCAGUGGGGAAUUUUGGACAAUGGGCGCAAGCCUGAUCAAGCCAUGCCGCGUGUCUGAAGAAGGCCUUCGGGUUGUAAAGGACUUUUGUCAGGGAGGAAAUCCUUAGCGCUAAUACCGUUGAGGGAUGACAGUACCUGAAGAAUAAGCACCGGCUAACUACGUGCCAGCCGCCGCCGUAA
This 500-nucleotide ribosomal RNA is filed under the name uncultured bacterium. RNAcentral's name for it is "partial 16S ribosomal RNA". It matches the Rfam family "Bacterial small subunit ribosomal RNA", at positions 30 to 523 of the family's 1533-position model. The record is from RNAcentral.